RNAcentral lists this transfer RNA (70 nucleotides) under Loxodonta africana (African savanna elephant). It matches the Rfam family "tRNA". From Rfam's summary of the family: Transfer RNA (tRNA) molecules are approximately 80 nucleotides in length. The record is from Rfam by way of RNAcentral. Lineage: Eukaryota; Metazoa; Chordata; Mammalia; Proboscidea; Elephantidae.
GCAGUGGUGGUUCAGUGGUAGAAUUUUCAUCUUUCACAUGGAGACCCAGGUUCGAUUCCUGGUCAAUGCA